Molecule: long non-coding RNA, 375 nt
Organism: Glycine soja
Lineage: Eukaryota; Viridiplantae; Streptophyta; Magnoliopsida; Fabales; Fabaceae
Exons: 3
Source: RefSeq, a predicted model, not a curated record
CUCUCUUCUUCCAUUUGAAGGAUAUCUCUGCAUCGUUACCAUAUUUUGGCUGCUUUUCAACAAAUAUCAGAUAGAUAUAUACAUGACUUAGAGGUAUUAGCUGCAUAUAUUAGCAGAAUCAUAAAUCUCAAGGAAAAGCAGUUGAAGCAUAUCUAUCCUUCUGCAAAGGCAAAGUUUGAUAUCGCAGAAGCUACGAAGGUUAAGACGAAGGUUAUGUCAACAGUAGCAACGAGAUGGCGGCAAUUUAAGUCCACAUUGACUAGCAAAUUUGUGUUUGCUAAGAGUGAAGGUCAACAAAUGCAGGAUGUUGUGACAAAAUAUGGACUAGAUCCUGAAGCGUGGAAACAAUUUGAAGAAACUCGGCUCACACAUAAC